AGAGUUUGAUCAUGGCUCAGAUUGAACGCUGGCGGAAUGCUUUACACAUGCAAGUCGAACGGCAGCACGGACUUCGGUCUGGUGGCGAGUGGCGAACGGGUGAGUAACAUAUCGGAACGUAUCCAAUAAUGGGGGAUAACUAAUCGAAAGGUUGGCUAAUACCGCAUACGCCCUACGGGGGAAAGCUAGGGACCUUCGGGCCUGGCGUUAAUGGAGCGGCCGAUAUCUGAUUAGCUAGUUGGUGGGGUAAAGGCCCACCAAGGCGACGAUCAGUAGCUGGUCUGAGAGGACGACCAGCCACACUGGAACUGAGACACGGUCCAGACUCCUACGGGAGGCAGCAGUGGGGAAUUUUGGACAAUGGGCGCAAGCCUGAUCCAGCCAUUCCGCGUGAGUGAAGAAGGCCUUCGGGUUGUAAAGCUCUUUCGCAAGGGAAGAAAACUUAGGCUCUAACAUAGCCUGAGGUUGACGGUACCUUGAUAAGAAGCACCGGCUAACUACGUGCCAGCAGCCGCGGUAAUACGUAGGGUGCGAGCGUUAAUCGGAAUUACUGGGCGUAAAGCGUGCGCAGGCGGUUUUGUAAGUCAGAUGUGAAAUCCCCGAGCUCAACUUGGGAACUGCGUUUGAAACUACAAGACUAGAAUAUGUCAGAGGGGGGUAGAAUUCCACGUGUAGCAGUGAAAUGCGUAGAGAUGUGGAGGAAUACCAAUGGCGAAGGCAGCCCCCUGGGAUAAUAUUGACGCUCAUGCACGAAAGCGUGGGGAGCAAACAGGAUUAGAUACCCUGGUAGUCCACGCCCUAAACGAUGUCUACUAGUUGUUGGUGGAGUAAAAUCCAUGAGUAACGCAGCUAACGCGUGAAGUAGACCGCCU
This 872-nucleotide ribosomal RNA is filed under the name uncultured bacterium. Its description in RNAcentral is "bacterial SSU rRNA". It matches the Rfam family "Bacterial small subunit ribosomal RNA", at positions 9 to 873 of the family's 1533-position model. The record is from RNAcentral.